This 253-nucleotide ribosomal RNA is filed under the name uncultured bacterium. Its description in RNAcentral is "partial 16S ribosomal RNA". It matches the Rfam family "Bacterial small subunit ribosomal RNA", at positions 524 to 776 of the family's 1533-position model. The record is from RNAcentral.
UACGUAGGGCGCAAGCGUUGUCCGGAAUUAUUGGGCGUAAAGAGCUCGUAGGCGGUUUGUCGCGUCUGCUGUGAAAUCCCGAGGCUCAACCUCGGGCCUGCAGUGGGUACGGGCAGACUAGAGUGUGGUAGGGGAGACUGGAAUUCCUGGUGUAGCGGUGGAAUGCGCAGAUAUCAGGAGGAACACCAAUGGCGAAGGCAGGUCUCUGGGCCACAACUGACGCUGAGGAGCGAAAGCGUGGGGAGCGAACAGG